Molecule: unclassified non-coding RNA, 250 nt
Filed under: plant metagenome
Description: partial contains small subunit ribosomal RNA, internal transcribed spacer 1, and 5.8S ribosomal RNA
Source: RNAcentral
GUAGGUGAACCUGCGGAAGGAUCAUUAUCACGUAUCCACGUAUAAACCAUUGUGAACUGUAACUUAAGCCUUUAGAGUGAAGACCAAGAUAGCGUGUGACUAACGUUAAGCGAUUUUUGUGAUUAAUCGUGUUAGUUAUGCCAUAGUUGUGUGCUUUCGGGCUCCUACUAUACUUGCUUUCUCUGAAGUGUAUUAAUCACUAAUUAUUAACCAUUACAACCCAUCUUUAUAAUUUUUGAACUAAUCAAUU